CCUAAGGCGAGGCCGACAGGCGUAGUCGAUGGACAACGGGUUGAUAUUCCCGUACCGGCAAAAGACCGACAAUGUCGAACCUUGUGAUGCUAAACGUGCUAAGCGUCGUCUCAAUCUCUUCGGAGAACGAGGUGGUGUGGAACGCGUGACCCGAGCAGGUAGUAGACCAGCGAUGGAGUGACGCAGGAAGGUAGCCUCCGCGUGGCGAUGGUAGUCCACGUCUAAGGGUGUAGGGCGAGGUGUAGGCAAAUCCGCACCUCACAUAGCCUGAGACCUGAUGGUGACCGCAAUUGCGGGAAGCAGGGUGAUCCUAUGCUGCCGAGAAAAACUUCUAGCGAGGUCUGAGCCGCCCGUACCCCAAACCGACUCAGGUGGUUAGGUAGAGAAUACCAAGGCGAUCGAGCAAAUCAUGGUUAAGGAACUCGGCAAAAUACCCCCGUAACUUCGGGAGAAGGGGGGCCCGGAUCGUGACGGCACUUGCUGCCCGAGCGUGAACGGCCGCAGAGACCAGGGAGAAGCGACUGUUUACUAAAAACACAGGUCCGUGCGAAGUCGCAAGACGAUGUAUACGGACUGACGCCUGCCCGGUGCUGGAACGUUAAGGGGACGGGUCAGCACGUAAGUGCGAAGCUCAGAACUCAAGCGCCAGUAAACGGCGGUGGUAACUAUAACCAUCCUAAGGUAGCGAAAUUCCUUGUCGGGUAAGUUCCGACCUGCACGAAUGGCGUAACGACUUCUCGACUGUCUCAACCAUAGGCUCGGCGAAAUUGCACUACGAGUAAAGAUGCUCGUUACGCGCGGCAGGACGGAAAGACCCCGGGACCUUCACUACAACUUGAUAUUGGUGUUCGGUUCGGCUUGUGUAGGAUAGGUGGGAGACUGUGAAGCUCGCACGCCAGUGCGGGUGGAGUCAACGUUGAAAUACCACUCUGGUCGAAUUGGAUGUCUAACCUCGGUCCGUGAUCCGGAUCAGGGACAGUGUCAGGCGGGUAGUUUAACUGGGGCGGUUGCCUCCCAAAAUGUAACGGAGGCGCCCAAAGGUUCCCUCAGCCUGGUUGGCAAUCAGGUGUCGAGUGCAAGUGCACAAGGGAGCUUGACUGUGAGACAGACAUGUCGAGCAGGGACGAAAGUCGGGACUAGUGAUCCGGCACUGGCUUGUGGAAGCGGUGUCGCUCAACGGAUAAAAGGUACCCCGGGGAUAACAGGCUGAUCUUGCCCAAGAGUCCAUAUCGACGGCAAGGUUUGGCACCUCGAUGUCGGCUCGUCGCAUCCUGGGGCUGGAGUAGGUCCCAAG
Molecule: ribosomal RNA, 1294 nt
Filed under: metagenomes
Description: bacterial LSU rRNA
Rfam family: Bacterial large subunit ribosomal RNA
Source: RNAcentral